ACUCAAAUGAAUUGACGGGGGCCCGCACAAGCGGUGGAGUAUGUGGUUUAAUUCGACGCUACGCGCAGAACCUUACCAACCUUUGACAUGUCCACUAUGGGCCUGAGAGAUCAGGUCCUUCACUUCGGGUGGGUGGAACACAGGUGCUGCAUGGCUGUCGUCAGCUCGUGUCGUGAGAUGUUGGGUUAAGUCCCGCAACGAGCGCAACCCUCAUCUUUAGUUGCCAUCAGGUUAUGCUGGGCACUCUAGAGAAACCGCCGGUGACAAGCCGGAGGAAGGCGGGGAUGACGUCAAGUCCUCAUGGCCCUUACAGGUUGGGCUACACACGUACUACAAUGGAAGUGACAAUGGGAUGCAACUCCGCAAGGAGAAGCCGACCUCAAAAAACUUCCUCAGUUCGGAUUGUCCUCUGCAACUCGAGGGCAUGAAGCUGGAAUCGCUAGUAAUCGCGCAACAGCAUGGCGCGGUGAAUACGUUCCCGGGCCUUGCACACACCGCCCGU
This 502-nucleotide ribosomal RNA is filed under the name uncultured bacterium. Its description in RNAcentral is "partial 16S ribosomal RNA". It matches the Rfam family "Bacterial small subunit ribosomal RNA", at positions 899 to 1397 of the family's 1533-position model. The record is from RNAcentral.